Molecule: ribosomal RNA, 467 nt
Filed under: uncultured bacterium
Lineage: Bacteria
Description: bacterial SSU rRNA
Rfam family: Bacterial small subunit ribosomal RNA
Source: RNAcentral
ACAAUGGGCGCAAGCCUGAUGGAGCAACACCGCGUGAGUGAAGAAGGGUUUCGGCUCGUAAAGCUCUGUUGUUGGAGAAGAACGUGCGUGAGAGUAACUGUUCGCGCAGUGACGGUAUCCAACCAGAAAGUCACGGCUAACUACGUGCCAGCAGCCGCGGUAAUACGUAGGUGGCAAGCGUUAUCCGGAUUUAUUGGGCGUAAAGCGAGCGCAGGCGGUUGCUUAGGUCUGAUGUGAAAGCCUUCGGCUUAACCGAAGAAGUGCAUCGGAAACCGGGCAACUUGAGUGCAGAAGAGGACAGUGGAACUCCAUGUGUAGCGGUGGAAUGCGUAGAUAUAUGGAAGAACACCAGUGGCGAAGGCGGCUGUCUGGUCUGCAACUGACGCUGAGGCUCGAAAGCAUGGGUAGCGAACAGGAUUAGAUACCCUGGUAGUCCAUGCCGUAAACGAUGAGUGCUAGGUGUUGGA